AUGUUCCUAACUGCACAGGACCUGUUGAGGAGCCAAGAGUAUAUCAGCCCAGCUGUAUGGACUGCUUUAAUUGAGCCACAUGGUUCUCAGUUGUUUACACAACCUUCUGGAGCACUUGUGGACCAAGCUUGUAUCUGCCCACAAGAGAGCAAGGAGAGGAUUCACACCAGUCCAUUCACUCUGUGCCACUCCACGUGGCUGUUCCUCCCCGUUCAUGAGAAGUUGCUGCAAAUGAGCCAGUGCCCUCUUCCAUUCCCCCAGGAUGUUGUACAGAAGAAAAGCCCACACACAGGUGUGCUGAAAGGCAUGUUGCUGAAGUCAUAUCCCUGCUAA
Molecule: long non-coding RNA, 333 nt
Filed under: Anser cygnoides (Swan goose)
Lineage: Eukaryota; Metazoa; Chordata; Aves; Anseriformes; Anatidae
Description: lncRNA (ENSACDG00005000420.1)
Source: RNAcentral